CCUACGGGAGGCAGCAGUGAGGAAUAUUGGACAAUGGAGGCAACUCUGAUCCAGCCAUGCCGCGUGCAGGAAGACUGCCCUAUGGGUUGUAAACUGCUUUUAUACAGGAAGAAUAGUACCUACGUGUAGGUAUUUGACGGUACUGUACGAAUAAGGAUCGGCUAACUCCGUGCCAGCAGCCGCGGUAAUACGGAGGAUCCAAGCGUUAUCCGGAAUCAUUGGGUUUAAAGGGUCCGUAGGCGGUCUGAUAAGUCAGAGGUGAAAUCCUGCAGCUCAACUGUAGCAUUGCCUUUGAUACUGUUAGACUUGAGUUAUUGUGAAGUAGUUAGAAUGUGUGGUGUAGCGGUGAAAUGCAUAGAUAUCACACAGAAUACCGAUUGCGAAGGCAGAUUACUAACAAUAUACUGACGCUGAGGGACGAAAGCGUGGGUAGCGAACAGGAUUAGAUACCCUGGUAGUCCACGCCGUAAACGAUGGAUACUAGCUGUUCGAUCAACAUUGGUUGGUUGAGUGGCUAAGCGAAAGUGAUAAGUAUCCCACCUGGGGAGUACGCUCGCAAGAGUGAAACUCAAAGGAAUUGACGG
Molecule: ribosomal RNA, 584 nt
Filed under: uncultured Bacteroidota bacterium
Lineage: Bacteria; Pseudomonadati; Bacteroidota
Description: bacterial SSU rRNA
Rfam family: Bacterial small subunit ribosomal RNA
Source: RNAcentral